RNAcentral lists this ribosomal RNA (238 nucleotides) under uncultured bacterium. RNAcentral's name for it is "partial 16S ribosomal RNA". It matches the Rfam family "Bacterial small subunit ribosomal RNA", at positions 524 to 761 of the family's 1533-position model. The record is from RNAcentral.
UACGGAGGGUGCGAGCGUUGUCCGGAAUCACUGGGCGUAAAGCGCACGUAGGCGGAUUGUUAAGUCAGGGGUGAAAUCCUGGAGCUCAACUCCAGAACUGCCUUUGAUACUGGCGAUCUUGAGUCCGGGAGAGGUGAGUGGAACUGCGAGUGUAGAGGUGAAAUUCGUAGAUAUUCGCAAGAACACCAGUGGCGAAGGCGGCUCACUGGCCCGGUACUGACGCUGAGGUGCGAAAGCG